AUAACCUUUAAACUGGUCCUGAGAGACCUGCAAGGAAAUACAUGGUCAACAGAUUAUUAUAUCAGGAAAAAAAGAAAUGGAAUGCAAACUCGCUUUUGUAAAAAGGCGGGUUUUUUUUGU
This is a non-coding RNA of Omnitrophica WOR_2 bacterium, 120 nucleotides long. Lineage: Bacteria; Pseudomonadati; Candidatus Omnitrophota. The record is from Rfam.